RNAcentral lists this non-coding RNA (23 nucleotides) under Cricetulus griseus (Chinese hamster). Lineage: Eukaryota; Metazoa; Chordata; Mammalia; Rodentia; Cricetidae. The record is from RNAcentral.
AUGUCAAGAAGGAAGGCUUAACC